RNAcentral lists this non-coding RNA (24 nucleotides) under Arabidopsis thaliana (thale cress). Lineage: Eukaryota; Viridiplantae; Streptophyta; Magnoliopsida; Brassicales; Brassicaceae. The record is from RNAcentral.
UGGGAGAUUAUUCCGCUACGUACC